This 721-nucleotide ribosomal RNA is filed under the name Porteria sp. 1 SC-2022a. RNAcentral describes it as "partial large subunit ribosomal RNA". The record is from RNAcentral. Lineage: Eukaryota; Metazoa; Arthropoda; Arachnida; Araneae; Desidae.
GUGGCGAGAGGAUUCAGUCUGGGGCGGCGGACGCGGCAGGCCGGAAAUCAGAGCAGGGCUUCCCCGAGCGGGGGCCGUCCGGCCGCGCGGAGUACCGCAGCGCCCGACGCAUUUGACUCUCGUCCGAAGGACGCCGCAGCCGGUUGGGUAGUGCAAGCGCGACGGCCUGAGGGGCGGAAGAUGGCAGGUGGCCGGUGGCGCGCACCAUGCGUGCCGCCGGUUGUUAGCCGUUCCGCCAGUGGCYCGUCACCCGACCGAGGUGUCGCGAGGCCCCUAGUGGGCCCUUGGCGUCUCCUGUUCCUCCAGGACAGCGGGGCAGGGCGCCGCAGUUGGCUAUCGCCGUCCCGUUCGCACCCCCAAGGGUGGUCGGGCGAGCGUGCGCCUCCGUUUGCGGCGACGGACCCGUGCGGAGGUYGGAGGCUGGCGGCGAGUAGGUCGGUCACCCACCCGACCCGUCUUGAAACACGGACCAAGGAGUCUAACAUGUGCGCGAGUCAAUGGGUCUUGAACAGGCCCAGAGGCGCAACGAAAGCAAAGGUCGCGCACCACGCCGGCCGAGUUGGGAUCCCCGGCCCCGUGCCGGGGCGCACCAACGACCCGUCCUAUCCGGCUCGCCGGUUGGGCGGAGUAUGAGCGUACACGUUGGUACCCGAAAGAUGGUGAACUAUGCCCGGGCAGGACGAGGCCAGAGGAAACUCUGGUGGAGGUCCGCAGCGGUUCU